RNAcentral lists this long non-coding RNA (269 nucleotides) under Erythranthe guttata (spotted monkey flower). Its description in RNAcentral is "long non-coding RNA (EGUT_LNC003470)". Lineage: Eukaryota; Viridiplantae; Streptophyta; Magnoliopsida; Lamiales; Phrymaceae. The record is from RNAcentral.
GGCAAAUGGCAAAAAGGCCCAUCACAUGGGACUUAAAUGCAUUUUAGUCCACAAAAAAAACACUCUCUCAAUUAAGCCCAUCCCCAUGUCUUUAGUCUAAAAUACCCUCAAUAAUAUAAUUCUUAACAAUUCCACCCAUUAUGCUCUAACUUCCUUAAUAUUACACAUUGACCCCGGAUUUAAACAAAUAUAUCACAUUUACCCCCAAAACUUUUUUUUUUCAGAAAAUAAUUUUUUUUCUGAAAUAUUUUUUUCCGGCCAGAUUCCGG